RNAcentral lists this non-coding RNA (57 nucleotides) under Spodoptera frugiperda (fall armyworm). The record is from RNAcentral. Lineage: Eukaryota; Metazoa; Arthropoda; Insecta; Lepidoptera; Noctuidae.
CACUCUAAGUAUGAACGCCAAGCAUAUUAAAAAGAGUUUGGUGUUCUACCUUACAGU